GAUGAACGCUGGCGGCGUGCCUAACACAUGCAAGUCGAGCGAACGGACGAUAAGCUUUCUCCCCUGAUGUUAGCGGCUGACGGGUGAGUAACACGUGGAUAAUCUACUUCUAAGACUUGGAUAACUACGGGAAAACGGAGCUACUACUGGAUAAUACUUUGAACCGCAUGGAUCAAAAGUGAAUGACGGUCUUGCUGUCACUUAUAGAUGGAUCCGCGCUGCAUUAGCUAGUUGGUAAGGUAACGGCUUACCAAGGCAACGAUGCAUAGCCGACCUGAGAGGAUGAUCAGCCACACUGGAACUGAGACACGGUCCAGACUCCUACGGGAGGCAGCAGUAGGGAAUCUUCCGCAAUGGGCGAAAGCCUGACGGAGCCACGCCGCGUGAGUGAUGAAGGUCUUCGGAUCGUAAAGCUCUGUUAUUAGGGAAGAACAGAUGUGUAAGUAACUGUGCCCGUCUUGACGGUACCUAAUCAGAAAGCCCCGGCUAACUACGUG
RNAcentral lists this ribosomal RNA (497 nucleotides) under uncultured bacterium. RNAcentral describes it as "partial 16S ribosomal RNA". It matches the Rfam family "Bacterial small subunit ribosomal RNA", at positions 28 to 507 of the family's 1533-position model. The record is from RNAcentral.